This is a long non-coding RNA of Corvus hawaiiensis (hawaiian crow), 3297 nucleotides long. RefSeq lists it as uncharacterized. The transcript is spliced from 6 exons. Lineage: Eukaryota; Metazoa; Chordata; Aves; Passeriformes; Corvidae. The record is from RefSeq and is a predicted model, not a curated record.
GAGACCCGGCACACGGGUGGGAAGGCACGGCACGGGCCAGCCAAGAGGUGGGCCUUCGGGGGAGUCGGGAGUUGGCCAACAAAGACUACCAGGACCUACCGGAAAAAAAUACAUAUUUUUCUCUUCAAAUUAAAGGGUAAAGCUGUUGUAAAUAAGGGGUGAGAAUGCCACUGAAGUGCUAAAAAAAUGCAUGGGCGCAUCGAUGCGCACGGACAUCCUUCCGCCCGCUCGGCGGUACCGCCUGGGCGGCCCCUCAGCCCCGGAGCUGCAGCGGGCGCGGGCAGCGAGCGCGGCCCUGCCAGGCAGCGGCACUGCUGUCUCUGCUCUCUUACCUUGCAGGAUUCCAUGGAAAGUUAUGGGACACUCACCCCAACUUUUGGAGACCCAGCAUUCACCAUUUCCGGAGACCAUCAGAGACCACAGGUGGAAUGUUGAAAUAAAGCAAGAAAGAGUUUUCUACUGACGAGAUGUCCAGACAGACAUGACUAAAGAGAUGAGCAGCCACCCAUAUCCUAGGUUUUUCUCCCUUAGUUCCAGUGCAAAUAUGUCUUUCAAACCAUCUGGAAGGCUGAGAAACAGCUGACAAAGCAUGGUCUGUUUCCAGAGCUACAGCAAACCAAAAAUACACAAAGCCCGGAAAUCAAGAGCUAGGAGCAAGGGAUUCCAUGACUGUUGUGGUAAAUUGCCUGUGAUCAAAUGUUGUGGCUGUGUUCCAAAUUUAUUGCAGAAGAACCUGGCUUAGGAGAACCAGUGAUGGUGAAGGCACCUCAUACUGAAGCAUCUAGUAGUAAUUCCUAAUUUUACUCCAAGGCAGAUGUGAUAUAAAUGAUUCAGCUGAGCUUGAGAAUGUCCCGAAGUUUGACCCUAUCAAUAGAGCCAACUGCAUUGUUGAAAAAACCAAGCUGCAAGCAAAGGCUGACAUGUAACAGAGCUGUUAAUAAGUACAAAACAUUGGUUUCUGUAUGCAAAAUUUAAAAUAUACCAGGAGAAAAGAACUGGAACAAGAAUCUUUAAUAUAGGCUUGCAGUCAUUAUCAGUCAGCUCCAUCAGACUUUAUGUUAACCUCCAUUCUUUUACACUUAGCCAAAAUUUAGAAUUUUAUGAGGACUGUGUGUAUUCAGUAAAGAGAAAACAAAAUCCUAUUCCUUCAUUUGGAACAAUUUUUACAUGUUUUAACUCAAAGAUUCCCUCUUAUUCUAUCUACAUGUUUUUUAUGUUUGCUGGUGUUGUAGAGUAUAACCUCAGAUAAUGCAGAAGUAAUAUCUAAAGGUAUGCAAAAUUAAAUCUUUGAGGUGAUAAUGCUAACAAUUGACCUGUGAUGCUAGCUUCUACUCUUUUCUAUGUUUCUACUUCAUCAUGUCUCCUAGUGUUGCCUGAACAAAAACUCUGAGAAGCAAGAGGCAUCUUUGCCCUGCACCUCGGUUAGAGCUGCUCCUCCCCUCAGCAGAGUGCACGACAGAAGGAUGCUGCUGCAUGUGCAGAACAAGUGGCAGUCUGUGGUGCUGUGAGGAGCACGAGACAUUGUUAAAAGUCUAAGUGAGGCUUCAGAUUCAGCAGAAGAGGAGAGGACCUAAACUUUGUAAUGCACUUUGAGAUUUACUAUAAGGAGAGAUGCUGAAAACAAGGGUUCUGUGGUUUCCUCUUGUAUUGCAACCUUCCAGCCGAAGACCAUCUAAGUCAAAACAGAAGGAACAGAAAGCCUCAUUUAUCUAAGACAGCAACUUCUUGCAGGUGAAAACUGAAGGUGAUAUCUUCACUCCAUUACAAUGGUAUGGCUUGUUACAAGCUUGACAGAGCAAAAUAUAAACAAACAAAUGCACAAUUACUUUUGUUUGUGGGGACAAGCAAAAACUAUCAAAAAUGUAGCAUACUCAGCUGGCAUUAUUUGUAGACUGGCUGGCAGCCUCUGCAGAGAGAACAAGAAAUACUAAAAUACAUUCAAAGGUGCUAUUUCCAGAGAACUUUACAGAUGUGCUAGCCAGGCAAUGUGGGAAAUGGGCCUUCCACAUGUCUGCAACACCCCUACCAGAUUUAGAAGGUAAAGUAAAGGGACUAGUAGAGUUUCAGCUAAAGUGCUUAUUGUUAUAGAAGUAUUGGCACAAUUUUUCUUUGAAAAUCAAAAUAUAUGGACUCAUUCCCAAAGCUCAAAAAAUGAAGACUUGCACAUUUUGGAUUGUCCUGCAGUGCUAAGCUACAUGUUUCUGCUCUGUUGGGCAAGUGUAACAGCAGAAAAUAAAUAGACAGCAUCCUCUGCAGGAGUUACAGGAAAAGCUAUACUGCGGUAAAGCUAAGGCAUAAUACCUUGUCUAAUUCUAUACCACAAUUUCAAUUUUCUGCCAUUGUUAGUCCCAGUAGAACUGUGCUGUAGACAUCAAAGGCUCUGAAUUUUUCAGUCUUGAGGUAUCGUAAAAGCUACAGUCUUGCAAUUCAUCUUUAAUGAGUUGUUCACAUGGAAAUCAAACAGCCAUGGAUUUCUUGAAAAUAGCCGAGGAUCAUUCCUAUCUUGUGUCCAGCACUCUGUCUCUUAAAAACAACUUCUGUGGCCAAUGAUCAACUAUCACUGAGUGAGAUUCAUAGCUGUAAUAAAGUUGUUUACUGUUUCAUUCUGAACAGUUUUCUUAUUUAUGUGCCCCAGCCCGUAAUUUCUAAAAUAUAUACCAUCUCUUAUUGCUGUGACCUGGAAUUUACUAAAAGUAUCACUAAGAAAUCACAAGAAACUACUCUUACUUUUAUUCCUCUCUUAAGAAUAGGCUGAGAGCCUUUACACACAGCUGUCUGAACUUGGAUCGUUUUCAGAUAAAAGUAUUAUUUAUGCUCUAAAGUGUCCCAGGAGCCUCCUAGACAGAACUGUACACAGUUAGGAUCUGCCUAUUUUCACAUAUGGGGAAACCAGGCAAGAUUCAUAAUGGAAAAUUUCAUUCCAGAUCUGCAUUUAGGUGAGUCUGGACCAUGCAUAUGCACACACAAAGUUCAUAAUAGCUGCUUGAGAGGUCAUUGGACCUUCAGCACGAUCACUUCAGGAAAAUGCUGAUAUUUUCAUUGCUUUUGCUAAAUCUGUUUGUUCCUAUGUUCCAGUUUUUUCUUUUGUCAAACAUCCCUUCUUGGUCUUACUACCUUUUUUCCCAAAAUUAUAUAUUGUUGAUUUGUAUUUUAGACACCAAGAGUUUUAGCUCAGUUAUAAGAUAUACUGUUCCAUAUAAGCACACGUUGACACUGGAUACAAUCCAGGAUUAAAUAUAUAGAACCUGGGCUGUCACAUCAAAGGAUACUCAGUAAAUUUAGUCCUUUAACCUUAUG